This 71-nucleotide transfer RNA is filed under the name bovine gut metagenome. It matches the Rfam family "tRNA". Rfam says of the family: Transfer RNA (tRNA) molecules are approximately 80 nucleotides in length. Their secondary structure includes four short double-helical elements and three loops (D, anti-codon, and T loops). The record is from RNAcentral.
GCCUGUAGCUUAGACAGGGAAAGCAUCUGCCUUGCAAGCAGAAAGACGUGGGUUCAAGCCCCACUGGGUCC